RNAcentral lists this unclassified non-coding RNA (207 nucleotides) under uncultured Ascomycota. RNAcentral describes it as "sequence contains ITS1". Lineage: Eukaryota; Fungi; Ascomycota. The record is from RNAcentral.
CAGAGUUCGUGCCCUGAACUGAAUCAGGGUAGAUCUCCCACCCCUUGUGUAUUUUCUUACCUGUGUUGCUUUGGCAGGCCGCCUGGAUCGUCGCCCCCGCGCGACAGCCCAGCCGCCGGCUCCCUCCGGGAAGCUGACGUGCGCCUGCCAGAGGCUCCCAAACUCAGUGUUUGUCAGUGUCGUCUGAGUACCAUUGCAAAAUCGUUA